RNAcentral lists this ribosomal RNA (509 nucleotides) under uncultured Veillonella sp. RNAcentral describes it as "bacterial SSU rRNA". It matches the Rfam family "Bacterial small subunit ribosomal RNA", at positions 28 to 508 of the family's 1533-position model. Lineage: Bacteria; Bacillati; Bacillota; Negativicutes; Veillonellales; Veillonellaceae. The record is from RNAcentral.
GACGAACGCUGGCGGCGUGCUUAACACAUGCAAGUCGAACGGACAGACAGAGAGCUUGCUCUCUUGAAGUUAGUGGCGAACGGGUGAGUAACGCGUAAUCAACCUGCCCUUCAGAGGGGGAUAACAACGGGAAACCGUUGCUAAUACCGCGUACGAUUCAUAGGCGGCAUCGCUUGUGAAUGAAAGGUGGCCUCUAUAUAUAAGCUAUCGCUGAAGGAGGGGAUUGCGUCUGAUUAGCUAGUUGGAGGGGUAACGGCCCACCAAGGCAAUGAUCAGUAGCCGGUCUGAGAGGAUGAACGGCCACAUUGGGACUGAGACACGGCCCAAACUCCUACGGGAGGCAGCAGUGGGGAAUCUUCCGCAAUGGACGAAAGUCUGACGGAGCAACGCCGCGUGAGUGAUGAAGGUCUUCGGAUUGUAAAGCUCUGUUAAUCGGGACGAAAGAGUUCUGUGUGAAUAAUGCAAAAAAGUGACGGUACCGGAAUAGAAAGCCACGGCUAACUACGUGC